Long non-coding RNA from Oncorhynchus keta (chum salmon), 2535 nucleotides. RefSeq lists it as uncharacterized. The record is from RefSeq and is a predicted model, not a curated record. The transcript has 5 exons. NCBI's taxonomy places the organism in Eukaryota, Metazoa, Chordata, Actinopteri, Salmoniformes, Salmonidae.
CCACAACCAUAAGGCUCUCCAGAGGGUAGUGAGGUCUGCUCCACCCACAACCAUAAGGCUCUCCAGAGGGUAGUGAGGUCUGCUCCGCCCACAACCAUAAGGCUCUCCAGAGGGUAGUGAGGUCUGCUCCACCCACAACCAUAAGGCUCUCCAGAGGGUAGUGAGGUCUGCUCCGCCCACAACCAUAAGGCUCUCCAGAGGGUAGUGAGGUCUGCUCCGCCCACAACCAUAAGGCUCUCCAGAGGGUAGUGAGGUCUGCUCCGCCCACAACCAUAAGGCUCUCCAGAGGGUAGUGAGGUCUGCUCCGCCCACAACCAUAAGGCUCUCCAGAGGGUAGUGAGGUCUGCUCCGCCCACAACCAUAAGGCUCUCCAGAGGGUAGUGAGGUCUGCUCCGCCCACAACCAUAAGGCUCCCAGAGGGUAGUGAGGUCUGCUCCACCCACAACCAUAAGGCUCUCCAGAGGGUAGUGAGGUCUGCUCCGCCCACAACCAUAAGGCUCUCCAGAGGGUAGUGAGGUCUGCUCCGCCCACAACCAUAAGGCUCUCCAGAGGGUAGUGAGGUCUGCUCCGCCCACAACCAUAAGGCUCUCCAGAGGGUAGUGAGGUCUGCUCCGCCCACAACCAUAAGGCUCUCCAGAGGGUAGUGAGGUCUGCUCCGCCCACAACCAUAAGGCUCUCCAGAGGGUAGUGAGGUCUGCUCCGCCCACAACCAUAAGGCUCUCCAGAGGGUAGUGAGGUCUGCUCCGCCCACAACCAUAAGGCUCUCCAGAGGGUAGUGAGGUCUGCUCCGCCCACAACCAUAAGGCUCUCCAGAGGGUAGUGGGGUCUGCUCCACCCACAACCAUAAGGCUCCCAGAGGGUAGUGAGAUCUGCUCCACCCACAACCAUAAGGCUCUCCAGAGGGUAGUGAGGUCUGCUCCACCCACAACCAUAAGGCUCCCAGAGGAUAGUGAGGUCUGCACAACACAUCACCGGGGGCCAUCAGACUGUUAAACAGCCAUGACUAACAUUGAGUAGGUAGUUGUGAAAUUGUUAGAUUACUUGUUAGAUAUAACUACAUGGUCAGAACUAGAAGCACAAGCAUUUCGCUACACUCGCAUUAACAUCUGCUUACCAUGUGUACGUGACAAAUACAAUUUGAUUUGAUUUCUCCCUUUUUUCCCAACCCUCUACACCUUCUGUCCAUCUUCUAGUCCUUUCCUUCUCUCCCUGUCCUUUCCUUCUCUCCCUUUCCUUUCCUUCUCUCCCUUUCCGUUCCUUCUCUCCCUGUCCUUUCCUUCUCUCCCUUUCCUUUCCUUCUCUCCCUUUCCUUUCCUUCUCUCCCUGUCCUUUCCUUCUCUCCCUUUCCUUUCCUUCUCUCCCUUUCCUUUCCUUCUCUCCCUGUCCUUUCCUUCUCUCCCUUUCCUUUCCUUCUCUCCCUGUCCUUUCAUUCUCUCCCUUUCCUUUCCUUCUCUCCCUGUCCUUUCCUCCUCUCUCCUCCUCCUCUUCCCUCGAUCAAGACCAUUACACCAGUCCUCUCUCCUUAUGCUACAGCUGAAAGCAGCUCAUGUUCAAACACCCCUAGGACAUCCUCCUUUAAACCACACACUGCCCCUCUCUCUCUCUCUCACUCCUAGAACAUCCUCCUUUAAACCACACACACUGCCCCUCUCUCUCUCUCUCUCUCUCUCUCUCACUCCUAGGACAUCUUACUUGAAACCACACACACUCCCCCUCUCUAUCUCUCACUCCUAGAACAUCCUCCUUUAAACCACACACUCCCCCCUCUCUCUCUCUGUCCUAGAACAUCCUCCUUUAAACCACACACUCCCCCUCUCUCUCUCUCUCUCUCACUCCUAGGACAUCUUCCUGUAAACCACACUCUCUCUCUCUCACUCCUAGGACAUCUUCCUGUAAACCACACUCUCUCUCUCUCACUCCUAGGACAUCUUACUUGAAACCACACACACUCCCUCUCUAUCUCUCACUCCUAGGACAUCUUCCUGUAAACCACACACUCCCCUCUCUCUCUCUCACUCCUAGGACAUCUUACUUCAAACCACACACUCCCCCUCUCUCUCUCACUCCUAGGACAUCUUCCUGUAAACCACAUACUCUCCCUCUCUCUCUCUCACUCCUAGGACAUCUUACAUUAAACCACACACACUCCCCCCCUCUCUCUCUCCCUCUCACUCCUAGGACAUCUUCCUGUAAACCACACACACUCCCCCUCUUUCUCUCUCUCUCUCACUCCUAGGAUAUCUUCCUGUAAACCACACACACUCCCCCUCUCACUCCUAGGACAUCUUCCUGUAAACCACACACACUCCUCCUCUCUCUCUCUCACUCCUAGGACAUCUUCCUGUAAACCACACACACUCCUCCUCUCUCUCUCACACUCCUAGGACAUCUUCCUGUAAACCACACACACUCCUCCUCUCUCACUCUCACUCCUAGGACAUCUUCAUGUAAACCACACUCUCUCUCUCACUCCUCGGACAUCUUCCUGUAAACCACACACUCUCCCUCUCUCUCUCACCCCUAGGACAUCUUACU